RNAcentral lists this long non-coding RNA (1522 nucleotides) under Mus musculus (house mouse). Its description in RNAcentral is "long non-coding RNA chr1:72832880-72834402". Lineage: Eukaryota; Metazoa; Chordata; Mammalia; Rodentia; Muridae. The record is from RNAcentral.
UUUUUUUUUUUUUUGCCGAGGGUAGGCAGUUGGAAGCCUUGAAGCCCUUCUGGCUGUCUGCCCCAUAUCCCUUCCUGGCUGUUGGGAAGCAGGGCAGAAGUGAAGAUUGCGGGGAAGAGGACAGGGGCUGGCACACCGCCAGGUGCUGGGCAGAGGAAUUAGCCCACAGACCCUGGUGGAACUAACUGGCUGAGAGUGAAGCCUGGGGAGUUUCUAACUAGCAGAUGGCUUUAGGUGUGUGUUAGCCUGUGUUGGUUCAAGGAAUUGAACAGAGACAGGAUGUCGAGGAGGGAAGGAAGGGGACCGGGGACUGAAGGCAUUGGCAGGUUGUUGGAGCUUGGAAGACAAGAGGAGCUUAUUUGGUGUGUUCAUCCUGGUGGGUUGUAAAGGAGUGGGAGGUGGGAGGUGGGAGGUGGGAGUGUGUGGCUUCCAGCUGGCAGGGUGUGAGAAAGGUGGUAGCUGUAAGCCAUGGUACCAUCUCAAUGGGCAGACAACACAUCUGUGGCAGCUGGAAGUGCCUUGCUGCAGGCAUUUCCUACCUCGCAGCUCAGAGCCGAAGGAAGAAAUGAAGGCUGCAUCCUAGGCCAAGUGCCCAGGCUAACCCAGGUUCGUUCUUGUUGCUCUUGUGCUCCUUUUUACGGGAGUUCCUGCGUGCACAAAAGCAGUGCGGUGCAUACUGCUUCUUGGAAAAGUUCUUUUUUUCCCCUGUGUGGCAGUAAUUGAGGCAUAACUUCUCAAAAAUGUUCCUUUAUGCAACUCCCCAGGAAGUUUCCUUUGGGACUAUUGUCUUUUCUUCUGGACGGAGAUGCCCAGUCUCCUGGAUGACGAACUUGCUUUCCGAAUUGCCCGAGGCCAAGAAGAGACCAAGAAUAGCAGUUGCCUUGUGUCCUGGGAUCUUCCCUGUAACUGAUACCACUGACUGGUUUUAUACCAACAGUGGUGGGUACUGUGCCAGGCAGGCUGAAGGAUCAAGUGGGCUGGGUUCACUGGCUUUUGUGGUUGGAUGGGCCCACCUGGCAUAUUAACUGGUAACCCCCUUCCUAGGGGUUGAUAUGUCUUGGUCACCUUUCCUUAAGUGAUCCAAUGAUCAGAAGGCAUUCUGAGGAGCUAAGAGCUGUGUAGCCCGGCAACCUGGGUUGGGUUUUGGGCCCUGCCUCUGGUAAGAUGGCUUUGUGCAGCUGGCCUUCAAACUCCAAGGCUCUUAUUGAAUGUGAUAGUGGGGUAAGAAAUCACCAACCUCUUGUGGCUGUGUAAUAAAUGGAGUCAUGCAUACAAUGACUUGGCACAGAGACUCAAAUAUCCAAAUGAUGUUAUCCACACUCCGAUCUCUUCCUUCUUUUUUCUCUUCUAAUCUCAGCAGAGAGCAGGAGGCAGCCACCACUGUCUGUUUAGAUGAAGUCUGAUUGGUCAUCUUAAGGAUUCUGAUAGGUGGAGGGGGAAGGCUGGGAGCUGGCUCAGUAGGUAAGAAGCACUUGCUAUGUGGGGUCUUGAGUUUGGAUCACUAGCACCCACGUGUUAAAAU